GACGAAGGGGGCUAGCGUUGUUCGGAAUUACUGGGCGUAAAGCGCGUGUAGGCGGUUGUCCAAGUUGGAUGUGAAAGCCUUGAGCUCAACUCAAGAAAUGCAUUCAGGACUGGAUGACUAGAGGACCGGAGAGGAUAGUGGAAUUCCCAGUGUAGUGGUGAAAUACGUAGAGAUUGGGAAGAACACCAGUGGCGAAGGCGGCUCACUGGCCCGGUACUGACGCUGAGGUGCGAAAGCGUGGGGAGCAAACAGG
RNAcentral lists this ribosomal RNA (253 nucleotides) under uncultured bacterium. RNAcentral's name for it is "partial 16S ribosomal RNA". It matches the Rfam family "Bacterial small subunit ribosomal RNA", at positions 524 to 776 of the family's 1533-position model. The record is from RNAcentral.